This is a long non-coding RNA of Triticum aestivum (bread wheat), 2305 nucleotides long. RefSeq lists it as uncharacterized. Lineage: Eukaryota; Viridiplantae; Streptophyta; Magnoliopsida; Poales; Poaceae. The record is from RefSeq and is a predicted model, not a curated record. The transcript is spliced from 2 exons.
GGGACCGGCGGGGCGGGAACGGCGGCCGCGGCGGGCGGGGGCGCGGCGGCGGAGGGGCCUUCCAUGGCCGGCGACGAGGAGGAGGGCGCGGGGAUGCGGGCGGGAAGGGAGCGGUUGCCUCCCGCGUGAACGAGGAGGCAGCGACGAAGAGGAGUGCGGGUUGGGGGGAGAUUUCCCCCUCAACCCCUACUUCUACAGAUUGCAAAUUGGUUUGAGGGUUGGACCUCUAAAUUUUUUUACGGGUUUGAGGGUUUAGAGGUUCUAGUCUACGGCGUUUUUCCGGCGAAAACUGUAAAAAAACGGUUAUUUUUAAGGGUUUGAGGGUUUGAGGGCACUACUAGUAAUGCUCUUAGAGCCUCAUUUUCGCUCUUGUAAGUACUACACGCCACAUAUGACAUCUCAUAUAUAUUGCGCCUACACAAGCAAUUAUAACAUGCGUUCCAAACAAAAUAUGUGUAAAGAACAGGAACAGUAGUACUAGAAAUGGGACUGCGUUGUGCCCAAAGCUCCGGACAUUUUUCUGAAAACGAGCCCCUCAGCGAUCCUCCGAAGAUAAUCUCUCUUCUCGUGUCGUUGCCUUUUUUAUUGCUAUCCUAAAAUAAAAAAUCUGUAGCUACAGUUGCUUAAGUACAACUCAUGUUUCAGUUAUGGACUUGUGGUUUAUUCAUCUUGGCCAUGUUCUGAACUUCUUCCGAUGUAAAAAAUGAUCAUCAUAACCAUAUUUCCCAUGUAUGAAAGGUAAGUUAAGCUAUACUCAUGCGAGGUUGUCCACCUAAUUCUUAGCAUGGGAUUUAUAUGCGAGGAGUCAUAUACCCUAGAAAGAUAAACACCUUAGUUUAUUCAUGGUGCAUUAUAGUAAUCUGUAUGCAGUACAAUAGUAGUAUCUUUGCAUAUGUUCCAUCUCAAGCCCAAUUGGUCAGUAUCUUUUCUUAUUAUUACAUCUCUGAUUAGUGUACUUUCUUAAAUAAUUUAUCUGCUAAUAUUUAUCCCUUUUGUGAGCAGACAUGUUAGGUAUGUUAUCUUUGUGGUCAUUUGCACAUAUGCUAAUGUGAGCUUUGGCAUUCAAAUCAACUUUCAUGUUUGUAUCUUUUAUCUGCAGUGCACUGUUUGUGAUUUAAUCAUUCACUCCAACUGAUAGGAUCUGAAUCUGGUGGACUCCAUACCAUGUCAUUUAAUCUUCUUACAUGUUGGAAUUUUCAUGCAACAACUCACAGUAAAUAUUUUUUGGCUAAAUUGGCCGUACUCACAUGAACAAUUAGUCGCAGCUUUUUCCUUGGCUCCCAAAAUUGAAGUACGGAGAUGAUACCCAAAUUUUGCAGGCUAUGAUAAAAAAUUUACGGUUUAAUUGAAGUGAGAAUGGAAAUUUUCAUAUCGGCAUCCUUAUAUAAGGCCUUCUCUGUCUUUUAACUAGGGCCACAAACAAGCAAACAUGCAGUCAUCUAUGCUGAUGCAACACGAUUGACGCUUGUGGCCACCGGCUGGAGGGCUUUCAGGCAAAGGACAAUGGUGGCGUGCAAGGACAACCAAGGAGAUCACGUCCACCUACUUUCGGUUGUUUGUGUCUCUCUUCACUGGUGAACUAUUUGAUCUGCAUCCCAUCUGAAAGGGUACAUUACACAUCCGGCUUCAGCCAUCAUCUCUGCUCCGGUAGAACCUAUUGCUCACUCCACGAUCUGAUAGUACAACAUUUAGCUCACUCCACAAUUUGAUAGUACAACAUUUUGCAUAUACCAACAAAACCUCCAUGUUCAGUUGUAAUUGUACUGUAGUAGUCUGUCGCUGAAUUGUGUUGCCCUUUGCUUCUGGAUAUAGAACUACUCCCUCCAUUCCUAAAUAUUUGUCUUUUUAGAGAUUACAAAUGGACUACCACAUACGGAUGUAUAUAGACAUAUUUUAGAGUGUAGAUUCACCCAUUUUACUCCGUAUGUAGUCACUUGUUGAAAUCUCUAGAAAGACAAAUAUUUAGGAACGAAGGGAGUACAUAUCACAUGGACCUCUCCCUGAAAGCAAGAACAUUUGUUACUUGUGAUGUGUGGCUUGUCAUUUCUCUUUUACAAUUUUAGAAAUGGUACAAGCAUACAAGUUAAUGUAAAAGGGUUAAUAAGAACUACACAAAUGGAGAAAAAGUUUAGUUGAACAUUUUUUGUCGCUAAUGUAUUUUGUCUUAUAUACUAUUUGUCGUGUUAUUAUUUAAUUGGGAUUUUGUUCUGAAAGAAAAUAAAUAUAGAUGUGUUAAGUUUUUUCUUCUACUUUGCUUCUAUCAAACUAAUCCAUGAUAUAUGGUAUGCAAUGCUCUCAUGGAUGA